CCCCGUAUCACUACGGGGCGUGUAUUCUGCAUUCGUAACCAGGGGGUCUGCUCGUG
Molecule: non-coding RNA, 56 nt
Organism: Kluyvera intermedia
Lineage: Bacteria; Pseudomonadati; Pseudomonadota; Gammaproteobacteria; Enterobacterales; Enterobacteriaceae
Source: Rfam